AAGCAGCUCAUUCACUCCUUCACAUCAGCAGGGAGAUGAUUAGCCAUUUCCAGGAAAAGGGUUCUUUGUCUUCUGUGUUACUGGGAAGACAAAUGUAGUAACUCAGAUGUCCCCACUAUCCCCAGCCGUCCUGCUGAGCAGUGCCAGUGAGAGAGCAGCUGGGGGACAUCUCGUGGCUGGCCAUGGUCACCCACUGUAACCGUGAGCUGGAAAUGUCUUCCUUCUCUACUACAUGAAGAUGUCUGCAGGCACCGUAACUUGCUUUUUAAUGCAAAUGUUAGCAGAACAGGACCUACUUAACUUCUUUAAGUAUGCUGAACUGGUGAUCAUCUCUUCCUGCACUCUGCUUCUCCUCCCUUUUUAUGUUGUAUAGACAAAGAUUUGCACUGACAAUGAGAAGGAAAUUGAAUUCUGCUGGAUUUCGGCAAAUCAAAGCAGUCACUUCUCAGCCCUGAUAUCUAGGAGUAAAACAGCAAAUAAUUCCAUUAUGAACUGUACGAGCUACAGAUUUAGUGUGCAUGUGUGCAUAAUACAUGUACCUGAUUCUGUUAAGGUGCCAGAAGAUAUUUCUGAAGGAUUUCUAACAUGAAUUUCUGCAAGCAGCAAGCUGUGUUUGCUGUUAUGUCAGUCAUAAUUCUGCUUGACUUUACUGAUGUUCUCGGGUUGGUAUGUUUAAGAUUAAUGAGGCAUUAGCCCUCAAUCAAGGAACUACUUGAGAAUACCCAUUUAAUUUCAGUGAAUUGUGCAGCUGUAUUAAUUAAUAUCAUUUGACCUUUGCAUUUGUGCGGAAAGAUUUCUUUUUCUAUAAGCAAUGUCAUAAAAUUGAAUUGAUAGCUGGAAUAUUGUUCUUUGUAUAGCCCAGCGAUUAAUACAAGUUGCAUCCUGUGUUUGCAUACAGAUUUGAGAAUAUAUUUCUGUCGUAACGAGAGAGAAUUCGGUCUUUUGGGUAAUUUGGAAGGCAAAGGGCCACUCUUAAGCUUUUCUUCUUUUGUUUAGAGCAUGGUGACAUAGAGGUAUUUUGGAAACUGAUAUAAUGCACACAGAAUUCCUCCAGUGUUAAUACCUUAUUGCAUUUAAAAUGUGAUAAAUAUGUGUAUGUCAACGUUUCUGCCUACAUGGAUGUGUGCUUGCAUACGUGGCAUUAUGUGUGCUACGUAGCUAGAGAAAUAAAGUAUUUAAAUACAUGAAGACA
RNAcentral lists this long non-coding RNA (1192 nucleotides) under Numida meleagris (helmeted guineafowl). Its description in RNAcentral is "lncRNA (ENSNMEG00000021073.1)". The record is from RNAcentral. Lineage: Eukaryota; Metazoa; Chordata; Aves; Galliformes; Numididae.